RNAcentral lists this ribosomal RNA (253 nucleotides) under uncultured bacterium. Its description in RNAcentral is "partial 16S ribosomal RNA". It matches the Rfam family "Bacterial small subunit ribosomal RNA", at positions 524 to 776 of the family's 1533-position model. The record is from RNAcentral.
UACGUAGGGACCAAGCGUUGUUCGGAUUUACUGGGCGUAAAGGGCGCGUAGGCGGCGCGGUAAGUCACUUGUGAAAUCUCUGAGCUUAACUCAGAACGGCCAAGUGAUACUGCAGUGCUAGAGUGUGGAAGGGGCAAUCGGAAUUCUUGGUGUAGCGGUGAAAUGCGUAGAUAUCAAGAGGAACACCUGAGGUGAAGACGGGUUGCUGGGCCAACACUGAUGCUGAGGCGCGAAAGCCAGGGGAGCAAACGGG